UGGGGAAUAUUGCACAAUGGGCGCAAGCCUGAUGCAGCCAUGCCGCGUGUAUGAAGAAGGCCUUCGGGUUGUAAAGUACUUUCAGCGGGGAGGAAGGCGAUAAGGUUAAUAACCUUGUCGAUUGACGUUACCCGCAGAAGAAGCACCGGCUAACUCCGUGCCAGCAGCCGCGGUAAUACGGAGGGUGCAAGCGUUAAGCGGAAUUACUGGGCGUAAAGCGCACGCAGGCGGUCUGUCAAGUCGGAUGUGAAAUCCCCGGGCUCAACCUGGGAACUGCAUUCGAAACUGGCAGGCUAGAGUCUUGUAGAGGGGGGUAGAAUUCCAGGUGUAGCGGUGAAAUGCGUAGAGAUCUGGAGGAAUACCGGUGGCGAAGGCGGCCCCCUGGACAAAGACUGACGCUCAGGUGCGAAAGUGUGGGGAGCAAACA
RNAcentral lists this ribosomal RNA (427 nucleotides) under uncultured bacterium. RNAcentral describes it as "partial 16S ribosomal RNA". It matches the Rfam family "Bacterial small subunit ribosomal RNA", at positions 355 to 774 of the family's 1533-position model. The record is from RNAcentral.